RNAcentral lists this long non-coding RNA (1172 nucleotides) under Phoenix dactylifera (date palm). Its description in RNAcentral is "long non-coding RNA (PDAC_LNC008976)". The record is from RNAcentral. Lineage: Eukaryota; Viridiplantae; Streptophyta; Magnoliopsida; Arecales; Arecaceae.
AAUGAUAGGUGUUAACAUUUGCAUGAUUAAAUAUUUUAUCCUUAGCACUUAUUAUAAUUUUUAUUAUUAUUUUAUAUAAAUUCAUUUUUUUCCAGCUGCGGAACAGAGCCCAGAUCUUCUUCAGCCCGCCUCACGCAUCCAAACCUCAUCCGUCCGUAUCCCCGCUUCCUCCCAGCCGUCUACGAAGCAAUGAUUCCGCGAUGCAGCCAUCUACGACUUCAUCCCACGCGUCCGCCCGAAGCAUCCGCGUCUCAGCUCCCAUGCUUAGGAUCCACGAUCAGAUCCCCCAGGCGAUCGCAGUUUCCGGAUUCGUGAUCCACCCAGCAUCCCGCAUCUUCCUCCUUCCUUAUUUCAAAGGCUUCUGGAGUUCAUAAUUCAUUCAUCCCAGCUAUCUGUGGCGCUUCUUCCAUGAGUCCAAAGCCCUGCUACCAGCUCCCGUCCGAGUCCAAUUCUCUCGCGAGCCCACGCAUCCCAGAUUCCGGAUCACGAUCGUCCCAGCAUCCCGUAUCUCAGCAUCCAACGCAUCCAAGCCCCAAUCUCGUCCGCAUUUCCAGCCUUCUCCCUGCGUCCCGACUUCAUCCAGUGAUCACAUCCAAGAUUCCAGCAUCCCCACAAUCUUCAGCCUUCCCCAGAUCCCGCAGGCGUCCGUGAUCCGCCUUCCAGAUCUCAGAUUCCCGCAUCCAAGGCACUGGGAUCUUUCCGUGCAUCCACCUCUCCCGGAUUCGCAAUCAUCUGAGUCCCAGAUCUUAGGUUUCCGCAUCCGAUUUUCCCGCAUCCACAGCCUCAUCCAGCCGUCCGCGUGCAUCAUCUUCUCCGGAGGAUUCAUCUCGGCCAAUGGUGGUCUCCACCGCAUGCGAGAAGGGGGGGAGAAGGCUAGCUUGAUAUACCUCUCGGCUGGGAAGGGUUUAGGGGAGUGCUCAUUCGAAAAAAUAGAGAGGGGAUACUCUGUUUGGGAGCUCUCAUUUGAAAACAAAAGAAAAAAAAUUGAGGAAAAAAAAAGAAAGGGAAACAGGGGAUGCCCUGUUUCCGAAAAGAAAAGAAAAAAAAGAAAGAAAAGGGGGACUAAUGUUUAAAAUGAGUGGCUGAUUUCUUAGGGAGGGUGAUGGAAGAACUUUUGAUGUAUUGCUCUUUGAAGUAAACUCUAAACUUUUGCUUUGAAUGACUUAUAUUUA